This 1206-nucleotide long non-coding RNA is filed under the name Triticum aestivum (bread wheat). RNAcentral describes it as "long non-coding RNA (TAES_LNC015615)". The record is from RNAcentral. Lineage: Eukaryota; Viridiplantae; Streptophyta; Magnoliopsida; Poales; Poaceae.
AAAUGCUUCAAAACCAGUAAAAAUGAAGCAAAGAAAUAGAGGAUAACUGGAAACUCAAAAAAGAAUCAAACAAAAAUCAUUUAGGUGCUUACAGUCUCAACCAAAUACCUUGUUUUGUUCGAGGCAAAAGUUGUGGUGCUUUCCACAAUAAAAUUAGAUAUGUCCACAUUGCUAAGUCUAGACAACACGAAAUAGAAAUUCAUUAAAACAAUAUUAGGAACUUAUUCAUCCGCAGGAAAUUAACAUAAAUUUCGUAGCAACUCUACAAAGAGUAGCUCACUGAUUUACAUGGUAUGACAGCCCCGACUACACCUCUCCUACAAUGCUGGCAGUUGCUUCACUUCAUGAAUGUCACUAUGGCUACAUUCUCUCCUUGAAUGUAAUCUUGAACCUCUCCUGAAGAACAUCAAAUAGAACAUGUCCUGAAGAACCUCAAAGGUGAAAGUUAUACCAUGUACAUCUGAAAUUUAUCUUUUGCCAUGAACCCCUUCUAAGUACUAAAAAAUGAUGGUCUAUACAUCAGUGUCCCAGUCUAAAGAUAUAAUGUAGUAUAGUUCUGCAUAAUAGAAUAAAGCAAACAUCUAUUUUUUUGUCAGUGUAGUCAACUUUCCUUUGCAACUGCUUUUGCUACCAGAUUGACUGCGGACAUGCUGAAGAGCUUAGCAGUCACUCUGCUUGUUGCCAGAAAAUGGGAAUAACACUGUCUGAUAUAUUUUCUUGAUAUAUGCAUACUGAAUCUCCAUGCAGAGUGAACAUGUACGUGGCUGCUAGUCUGCUACUUCAUGGGUCAAGAACACUUGGAUAUGCAUGAACCUUUGAACACCUAGGAGCCUAGGACACUGCACCUUGAUAUGCUUUGUCUAUUACUGCAUCAUGUGCAAACACUUGCGAUGGCAUCUGCCACUUCAUCCCCGGCAGAUUGUGCGACAUCAGUAGUGUUGUAGUCAAACACACCAUAGAGCCUGACACCCAUCACUUAAUCUGCACAGAAAUCAAAACCCCACAUUAGCCCGUCCACUGUAACGGUACAAAAUCUAUACCGCUAAAAUUAAAUUUGCAUCAUACCUAUUUUAUUUUAUCCUAAAACUGUGUCAACAAGAUAUCCAUUCAUUUCAAAUAACGCAGUAAGUACAUCUAUUUCAGACGGCUCCUCGAUAGCCUUAUCUAGUGGGCUAUUGGCCUUGCGCUUCUCUGGAGAUGGACAAU